AAGAAAAAGAUGUAUAAUCUGCUCAAUGAUUUUUUAAAUUGCUGUGGUAUUUUGACUAUACAAAGGUAUUGAAAUAAGAUUUUAAAUGAGUGCUAAGAGAAUGAUUAAACAAUUAAAAGCUUUCUUUAAUUAAAAAAUUAAAUUUAAUUUUUUUAGUGCAAAAGCAAAAAUAAAAUUUAGGGACAAGAAGACCCUAUGAAUUUUUAUUGUUAAUAAUUAAUAUUUAAGUUAUUAAUAAUUUAAUUGGGGCGAUAAAAAAAGAAUAAGUAUCUUUUUAGUUAUAAAAUAAGUUCCGUUUUUAGCGAUUAAAUGAAAUAAAUACUCUAGGGAUAACAGCGUAAUAAUUUUGGAUAGUUCAUAUAGAUAAAAUAGUUUGCGACCUCGAUGUUGGAUUAGGAUUCUUUUUUGGUGAAGAAGUUAAAGAAAGAAGUUUGUUCAACUUUUAAAUUCCUACAUGAUCUGAGUUCAAAACCGGAGA
RNAcentral lists this ribosomal RNA (478 nucleotides) under Ixodes scapularis (black-legged tick). RNAcentral's name for it is "partial 16S ribosomal RNA". The stretch from base 181 to 478 matches the Rfam family "Bacterial large subunit ribosomal RNA", at positions 2078 to 2624 of the family's 2925-position model. Lineage: Eukaryota; Metazoa; Arthropoda; Arachnida; Ixodida; Ixodidae. The record is from RNAcentral.